UACGGAAGGCAGCAGUGGGGAAUAUUGCACAAUGGGCGAAAGCCUGAUGCAGCUAUGCCGCGUGUAUGAAGAAGGCCUUAGGGUUGUAAAGUACUUUCAUCGGGGAGGAAAAAACAAAACUAAUAAUUUUAUUUCUUGACGUUACCCGAAAAAGAAGCACCGGCUAACUCCGUGCCAGCAGCCGCGGUAAUACGGAGGGUGCUAGCGUUAAUCAGAAUUACUGGGCGUAAAGAGCACGUAGGUGGUUUUUUUAAAGUCAGAUGUGAAAUCCCUGGGCUUAACCUAGGAACUGCAUUUUGAAACUGAAAUACUAGAGUAUCGUAGAGGGAGGUAGAAUUCUAGGUGUAGCGGUGAAAUGCGUAGAUAUCUGGAGGAAUACCUGUGGCGAAAGCGGCCUCCUAAACGAAUACUGACACUGAGGUGCGAAAGCGUGGGGAGCAAACAGGGAUUAGAUACC
This 457-nucleotide ribosomal RNA is filed under the name uncultured bacterium. Its description in RNAcentral is "bacterial SSU rRNA". It matches the Rfam family "Bacterial small subunit ribosomal RNA", at positions 340 to 786 of the family's 1533-position model. The record is from RNAcentral.